CAACAGGGAUUGCCCUAGUAACGGCGAGUGAAGCGGCAACAGCUCAAAUUUGAAAUCUGGCUCUUUUAGGGUCCGAGUUGUAAUUUGCAGAGGGUGCUUUGGUGUUGGCAGCGGUCUAAGUUCUUUGGAACAGGACGUCACAGAGGGUGAGAAUCCCGUACGUGGUCGCUAGCCCUCGCCGUGUAAAGCCCCUUCGACGAGUCGAGUUGUUUGGGAAUGCAGCUCUAAAUGGGAGGUAAAUUUCUUCUAAAGCUAAAUACUGGCCAGAGACCGAUAGCGCACAAGUAGAGUGAUCGAAAGAUGAAAAGCACUUUGGAAAGAGAGUCAAAUAGCACGUGAAAUUGUUGAAAGGGAAGCGCUUGCAGCCAGACUUGCCUGUAGUUGCUUAUCCGGACUUUUGUCCGGUGCACUCUUCUGCGGGCAGGCCAGCAUCAGUUUAGGCGGUUGGAUAAAGGUCUCUGUCAUGUACCUCUCUUCGGGGAGGCCUUAUAGGGGAGACGACAUGCAACCAGCCUGGACUGAGGUCCGCGCAUCUGCUAGGAUGCUGGCGUAAUGGCUGUAAGCGGCCCGUCUUGAAACACGGACCAAGGAGUCUAACAUCUAUGCGAGUGUUUGGGUGUCAAGCCCAGACGCGUAAUGAAAGUGAACGGAGGUGGGAACCCUUACGGGUGCACCAUCGACCGAUCCUGAUGUCUUCGGAUGGAUUUGAGUAAGAGCAUGGCUGUUGGGACCCGAAAGAUGGUGAACUAUGCUUGAAUAGGGUGAAGCCAGAGGAAACUCUGGUGGAGGCUCGCAGCGGUUCUGACGUGCAAAUCGAUCGUCAAAUUUGGGCAUAGGGGCGAAAGACUAAUCG
This 853-nucleotide ribosomal RNA is filed under the name Juncaceicola padellana. RNAcentral describes it as "LSU rRNA". It matches the Rfam family "Eukaryotic large subunit ribosomal RNA", at positions 66 to 937 of the family's 3401-position model. Lineage: Eukaryota; Fungi; Ascomycota; Dothideomycetes; Pleosporales; Phaeosphaeriaceae. The record is from RNAcentral.